This 660-nucleotide ribosomal RNA is filed under the name Pseudomonas sp. HBL4. Its description in RNAcentral is "bacterial SSU rRNA". It matches the Rfam family "Bacterial small subunit ribosomal RNA", at positions 30 to 685 of the family's 1533-position model. Lineage: Bacteria; Pseudomonadati; Pseudomonadota; Gammaproteobacteria; Pseudomonadales; Pseudomonadaceae. The record is from RNAcentral.
UGAACGCUGGCGGCAGGCCUAACACAUGCAAGUCGAGCGGAUGAUGGGAGCUUGCUCCCGGAUUCAGCGGCGGACGGGUGAGUAAUGCCUAGGAAUCUGCCUGGUAGUGGGGGACAACGUUUCGAAAGGAACGCUAAUACCGCAUACGUCCUACGGGAGAAAGCAGGGGACCUUCGGGCCUUGCGCUAUCAGAUGAGCCUAGGUCGGAUUAGCUAGUUGGUGGGGUAAAGGCCUACCAAGGCGACGAUCCGUAACUGGUCUGAGAGGAUGAUCAGUCACACUGGAACUGAGACACGGUCCAGACUCCUACGGGAGGCAGCAGUGGGGAAUAUUGGACAAUGGGCGAAAGCCUGAUCCAGCCAUGCCGCGUGUGUGAAGAAGGUCUUCGGAUUGUAAAGCACUUUAAGUUGGGAGGAAGGGCAGUAAGUUAAUACCUUGCUGUUUUGACGUUACCAACAGAAUAAGCACCGGCUAACUUCGUGCCAGCAGCCGCGGUAAUACGAAGGGUGCAAGCGUUAAUCGGAAUUACUGGGCGUAAAGCGCGCGUAGGUGGUUUGGUAAGAUGGAUGUGAAAUCCCCGGCUCAACCUGGGAACUGCAUCCAUAACUGCCUGACUAGAGUACGGUAGAAGGUUGGUGGAAUUUCCUGUGUAGCGGUGAA